RNAcentral lists this ribosomal RNA (733 nucleotides) under uncultured archaeon. RNAcentral's name for it is "bacterial SSU rRNA". It matches the Rfam family "Archaeal small subunit ribosomal RNA", at positions 151 to 867 of the family's 1478-position model. The record is from RNAcentral.
UCUCGAUAGGUGAAGAACUCUGGAAUGAGUCUUUGCUAAAAAGACGCUUGCGUUAUGCUCGUAGGCGUCGCCCAAGGAUGAGGCCGCGACCGAUCAGGUUGUUGGUGAGGUAAUGGCUCACCAAGCCUUUUACCGGUGCGGGCCGUGAGAGCGGGAGCCCGGAGAUGGGCACUGAGACAAGGGCCCAGGCCCUACGGGGCGCAGCAGUCGCGAAAACUUUGCAAUACACGAAAGUGUGACAGGGCUAUCCCGAGUGCCAUCCGCUGAGGAAGGCCUUUACCCAGUCUAGAACGCUGGGGGAAUAAGGAGAGGGCAAGUCUGGUGUCAGCCGCCGCGGUAAUACCAGCUCUCCGAGUGGUGUGGAUGUUUAUUGGGCCUAAAGCAUCCGUAGCUGGCUAAGUUAGUCCCUUGUUAAAUCCACCGAAUUAAUCGUUGGAUUGCGGGGGAUACUGCUUGGCUAGGGGACGAGAGAGGCAGACGGUAUUUCCAGGGUAGGGGUGAAAUCCUAUAAUCCCGGGAAGACCACCAGUGGCGAAGGCUGUCUGCUAGAACGCGCCCGACGGUGAGGGAUGAAAGCUGGGGGAGCGAACCGGAUUAGAUACCCGGGUAGUCCCAGCUGUAAACGAUGCAGGCUAGGUGUUUGGACGGCCACGUGCCGUUCUAGUGCCGCAGGGAAGCUGUUAAGCCUGCCGCCUGGGGAGUACGAUCGCAAGGUUGAAACUUAAAGGAAUUG